Molecule: long non-coding RNA, 1521 nt
Organism: Tupaia belangeri chinensis (Chinese tree shrew)
Lineage: Eukaryota; Metazoa; Chordata; Mammalia; Scandentia; Tupaiidae
Exons: 3
Source: RefSeq, a predicted model, not a curated record
UCCUGAUGUUCAGGCAUCUUCAAACCACUCACAACUCCAUGUACCUGAGGGGAGUCACAGAGAAUCUGGUUCAGUGAGGGAAAGAAACAUUUAACUCCCAACUUCACAUAACUCGCAUUCCUCUGUUUACUAUGAAGUCAUAGUUCAUAGUAUUACUCUCGAUAAUCUGGAAUGUCUGCAUCGGACCCAAGGAACACGCUGCAUUUUCUUCUUCUUCUUCAGGCUCUCAGUUCAUGAUGAACAAAUAUGGAAAUUUUUCUGACGGGGAAAUCCAACUACCAAAAUAACUCCUUCAUAAUUCACAUGUGCAAUCACAACGGUGAUUAAUAAAAACCUGAAACCGUUCCUAAAAGCCUCGAGCAUCAAUUACUCUGUUAGAUGGCAGGACUCUAUGAAAACCUACGACAGCAGGUUACUCAGGCAAAUUAAAUCAUGUGAACUUAUGGUGGAAAAAGAGAAAUCUUCCUUGGGUGGAUUUGCAAGCGGACAAAGGCAUGCUCUCAAAGAGGGGUGACCGCCGUGUGGCUCUUCGGGGCUCUAUAUUUCAACUUUGAAAGACAUCUGAAGGGGAAAAUGCCACUGCAAAUUGAAUUUAUGCUGGGAUGAACGCUCUACUGGGAUACACCCGACAUAAUAAAAGUACAACUGGCCUGGAACCUCUCAUUCAGCAAAAUUAUUGGAGAUUCUGCCAUGUGGCUGUGUAUGACCAGUUCAUUCAUGUUUAUUGUGAACGAUAUCCUGCAGUAGAGACACACAACGACUCAUCUUCCCAUGCACCUGUUGAUGGACAUUUCUAGUUUGAGGUUAAUCUAAAUAAAGCUGCUAUAAAGAUUUACACAUAAAUCUUUGUGCGGAUGCAUGCUUUCAUCUCUGUUAGAUAGGAAUUCUCUAGCAUUGCAUGGUUAGAUCAUGUGGUAGCUUAUAUUUCACUUUUUAACAUACUAUCACACUAUUUUCAAAGGGGUCCUACCAUUUUACCUUCCCACCAGCAAUGCAUGACUUUCAGUUUCUUUAUAUCCAUGCCAACACUUAAUAGGAUCAGUCUUUUUAAUUUUAUCCAUUCUAAUAGGUGGUGUGUUAUCAAGCUACAGAUGUAAUUUCACUUCCCUAAUUACUAAUGAGGGUGGGUAUAUUUCCAUGUAUUUACUUGCUAUCUAUACAUUUCUUUAGUGAAAUGUUUGUUCAAUCAUUUGUCCAUUUUUAAAAAAAAUUGGCUAAUCUCACUUGUCACUUUGACUGUUUUCCAGUCAAACUCAAUUCACAGUCCCAACACCGACACCUCACAUUUUCCUCUAAACUUUGCUGCUGUGUUCUGUUUGCUUUAAAUAACUUAAUGCUGCCUUCUCCUAUGUUUUGCCCAUCCAAGUUCUGUAUAUCCUUCAGCUCCCAGAUGGAGUGCUAUAUUCAUCCUCAAGUCUUCCUGAAUUUCAAUGUCCAGUUUGAAAGUACUGGUUUCCUCAUCUGAACUAUCAUAAAGUUCUCUUUCUUCUACAAUUUCUAACUUUCUACUUUUUGUUUUAU